RNAcentral lists this long non-coding RNA (251 nucleotides) under Elaeis guineensis (African oil palm). Its description in RNAcentral is "long non-coding RNA (EGUI_LNC063307)". Lineage: Eukaryota; Viridiplantae; Streptophyta; Magnoliopsida; Arecales; Arecaceae. The record is from RNAcentral.
CCUGCACCCUGAAUAUAUUCAUAAGUAUCGAACCAUGUCAAACUCAAACACAUAUUCAUAUCGAUUCUCAAUUAACCAAUGAUAACUCUAAUAAAAAAACAUUAGAAACUCUUUCUAAUCUCCUUUCUACUUUUGAUCAAAAUUUUUUUUUGAGUGAUUUAGGAUUGAGAAUACAUAGGAUAUGAUCUCCUCUUACUAGGAGUGAUCGAUUCCAUAUUGACCUACUCACAACCUCCAUCAAUACUCCACCA